This 484-nucleotide ribosomal RNA is filed under the name uncultured bacterium. RNAcentral describes it as "partial 16S ribosomal RNA". It matches the Rfam family "Bacterial small subunit ribosomal RNA", at positions 30 to 507 of the family's 1533-position model. The record is from RNAcentral.
AUUGAACGCUGGCGGCAGGCCUAACACAUGCAAGUCGAGCGGAUGAAGGGAGCUUGCUCCUGGAUUCAGCGGCGGACGGGUGAGUAAUGCCUAGGAAUCUGCCUGGUAGUGGGGGAUAACGUCCGGAAACGGGCGCUAAUACCGCAUACGUCCUGAGGGAGAAAGUGGGGGAUCUUCGGACCUCACGCUAUCAGAUGAGCCUAGGUCGGAUUAGCUAGUUGGUGGGGUAAAGGCCUACCAAGGCGACGAUCCGUAACUGAUCUGAGAGGAUGAUCAGUCACACUGGAACUGAGACACGGUCCAGACUCCUACGGGAGGCAGCAGUGGGGAAUAUUGGACAAUGGGCGAAAGCCUGAUCCAGCCAUGCCGCGUGUGUGAAGAAGGUCUUCGGAUUGUAAAGCACUUUAAGUUGGGAGGAAGGGCAGUAAGUUAAUACCUUGCUGUUUUGACGGUACCAACAGAAUAAGCACCGGCUAACUUCGUG